GGUGGGUUGGCCGAGUGGUUGAAGGCGCUCGCCUGCUAAGUGAGCGUGGGGCAGAAAUCUCCACCGAGAGUUUGAAUCUCUCACCCGACCGCCA
RNAcentral lists this transfer RNA (94 nucleotides) under Holosporaceae bacterium. RNAcentral's name for it is "tRNA-Ser". It matches the Rfam family "tRNA". Rfam says of the family: Transfer RNA (tRNA) molecules are approximately 80 nucleotides in length. Their secondary structure includes four short double-helical elements and three loops (D, anti-codon, and T loops). Further hydrogen bonds mediate the characteristic L-shaped molecular structure. tRNAs have two regions of fundamental functional importance: the anti-codon, which is responsible for specific mRNA codon recognition, and the 3' end, to which the tRNAs corresponding amino acid is attached (by aminoacyl-tRNA synthetases). tRNAs cope with the degeneracy of the genetic code in two manners: having more than one tRNA (with a specific anti-codon) for a particular amino acid; and 'wobble' base-pairing, i.e. permitting non-standard base-pairing at the 3rd anti-codon position. Lineage: Bacteria; Pseudomonadati; Pseudomonadota; Alphaproteobacteria; Holosporales; Holosporaceae. The record is from RNAcentral.